This 530-nucleotide ribosomal RNA is filed under the name uncultured bacterium. RNAcentral's name for it is "partial 16S ribosomal RNA". It matches the Rfam family "Bacterial small subunit ribosomal RNA", at positions 354 to 900 of the family's 1533-position model. The record is from RNAcentral.
GUGGGGAAUAUUGCACAAUGGGCGAAAGCCUGAUGCAGCAACGCCGCGUGAGUGAUGAAGGUCUUCGGAUUGUAAAGCUCUGUCUUUUGGGACGAUAAUGACGGUACCAAAGGAGGAAGCCACGGCUAACUACGUGCCAGCAGCCGCGGUAAUACGUAGGUGGCGAGCGUUGUCCGGAUUUACUGGGCGUAAAGGGUGCGUAGGCGGAUGUUUAAGUGAGAUGUGAAAUACCCGGGCUUAACUUGGGUGCUGCAUUUCAAACUGGAUAUCUAGAGUGCAGGAGAGGAGAAUGGAAUUCCUAGUGUAGCGGUGAAAUGCGUAGAGAUUAGGAAGAACACCAGUGGCGAAGGCGAUUCUCUGGACUGUAACUGACGCUGAGGCACGAAAGCGUGGGUAGCAAACAGGAUUAGAUACCCUGGUAGUCCACGCCGUAAACGAUGAGUACUAGGUGUAGGAGGUAUCGACCCCUUCUGUGCCGCAGUAAACACAUUAAGUACUCCGCCUGGGAAGUACGAUCGCAAGAUUAAAAC